This 353-nucleotide unclassified non-coding RNA is filed under the name soil metagenome. RNAcentral's name for it is "partial contains 5.8S ribosomal RNA, internal transcribed spacer 2, and large subunit ribosomal RNA". The stretch from base 1 to 120 matches the Rfam family "5.8S ribosomal RNA", at positions 35 to 154 of the family's 154-position model. The record is from RNAcentral.
GAUGAAGAACGUAGCGAAAUGCGAUAAGUAAUGUGAAUUGCAGAAUUCAGUGAAUCAUCGAAUCUUUGAACGCACAUUGCGCCCGCCAGUAUUCUGGCGGGCAUGUCUGUUCGAGCGUCAUUACAACCCUCAGGCCCCCGGGCCUGGCGUUGGGGAUCGGCGGAAGCCCCCUGCGGGCACAACGCCGUCCCCCAAAUACAGUGGCGGUCCCGCCGCAGUUUCCAUUGCGUAGUAGCUAACACCUCGCAACUGGAGAGCGGCGCGGCCACGCCGUAAAACACCCAACUUCUGAAUGUUGACCUCGGAUCAGGUAGGAAUACCCGCUGAACUUAAGCAUAUCAAUAAGCGGAGGA